CAGUCGCCACGGUAAAACGUAGGGUGCAAGCGUUAAUCGGAAUUACUGGGCGUAAAGCGUGCGCAGGCGGUUAUAUAAGACAGAUGUGAAAUCCCCGGGCUCAACCUGGGAACUGCAUUUGUGACUGUAUAGCUAGAGUACGGCAGAGGGGGAUGGAAUUCCGCGUGUAGCAGUGAAAUGCGUAGAUAUGCGGAGGAACACCGAUGGCGAAGGCAAUCCCCUGGGCCUGUACUGACGCUCAUGCACGAAAGCGUGGGGAGCAAACAGGAUUAGAUACCCCGGUAGUCCCUGUCUCUUAUAC
RNAcentral lists this ribosomal RNA (301 nucleotides) under uncultured bacterium. RNAcentral describes it as "partial 16S ribosomal RNA". It matches the Rfam family "Bacterial small subunit ribosomal RNA", at positions 509 to 807 of the family's 1533-position model. The record is from RNAcentral.